GGUGAACCGUGUCGCAAGAGGGAACCCGGUGCGAGUCCGGGACUGCCCCGCAGCGGUGAGUGGGAACGAAAGUCGCCAUGAGCACUGGUACUCCGACCGGAACGGUCGGCGGCUGGGAAGCGGCGUCGAGUAGGUGAGCCGGUCGACCGGCGGCGCCCACGAGUCCGAAGACCUGCC
This 177-nucleotide non-coding RNA is filed under the name Nocardiopsis sp. Lineage: Bacteria; Bacillati; Actinomycetota; Actinomycetes; Streptosporangiales; Nocardiopsidaceae. The record is from RNAcentral.